UCAGGCUCCAGGCUCUGAGCUGUCAGCACAGAACCCCAUGUGGGAUUUGAACUCACAAUCCACGAGAUCAUGACCUGAGACAAAGUCGGACGCUUAACUGACUGAGCACCCAGGGGCCCCAGUGGAUUUAACUAUUCAAUAAUGUGAAACUGUUAUCAAUGAAAAAUUAGACUAAACAAAAUUAAAAGGUGUGGCUACAGAAAAAUGCAUAUCAAAAGAGUUAGCAUCUUUCAUAUAUAACUUCUUACAAGUCAAUAUGAAGAAAUGAACACAUUUAGAAAACUCUGGCAAACAAUAUGAAUUGACACUUUACAAAAUGACAAUCAGUGAACAUUUUUAAAAAUGUUAAUGCUUUCAGUCAGAAAUACAACGUAAAAUAAUGAGGUACAGUUAUUUGCCUAUACAGAAAAUGUCUGAAAAGCUCCCAUUCUAGCAGGACUUGAGGGGCGGUGGGCAUAUUGCUGGUGGAAAUCCAGACUGGAUUCCAGACGCACCUUCUGAGAGCUAAUAGGAUUCAAAACUACAAAAACGUUGGUAGGGCUUUAAGAGGGGAUUUGGGGACGGGCGGUGGAUACAAGGCAUCCAGGCUUCUAAAAUUGUCCCUUCCCCUCUUCCCUCCAGCUAAGUCAGGUUCCCAUCAGCUCUCACCUGGGCUCCUUAAACAACCUCCUAACUAAUCCGGUGUCCUCAUUUUCCUCUUGAAAUUUCACCUUCCACUUUGCAGUAUCACUGAUCCCCACUAUAAAUAUGUCCAUGCCCUUCCCCUUGCAAGGACCUCUUCGGUCACCAUCACCAGCAGGAUUAAGGUCAGUCUUCUCAGUAUGGCCUGCAAAGUUCUCCAACCUUCUGAUCCUCAUCCAGUUCUCUAGGCCCCCCAUUUUCCACCCGCCCCCAUUUUCCACCCGCCCCCAUUUUGCCAUCCAUUCAUAAUACCCAGCUGCUUAUAAUUUUUACAGUAUGUUACUUCCGUUCCCAUUAAUCCUUCAAUAGAAAAAUCAGUCCUGCCCUCCCUUCGCUCAUCAUUCGCUCUAAUUCUUUGCAGUAAAAGUUGUACCUUCCCCAGAAAGCUUUCUGUGACUUUCUAGGCUGGGUUCGUUUCCCCCCAACUUGGUCCUGUAAAACACUGGCCUCAUGACUCUGCAUUGUGUGCGUGAGGUUCAUUUGUAAGUAAGUAGCUGUGGUCUGUUCAUUCUCGUUUCUGUAUACAAUUAUAAAAAUAUACCAUUAUUGUUGUUAAAUACUUUCUCCAGCUUUUGGCUACUGAGUCGUGUUUCUAUUAGGAUUCGAUGCAUGUAUUUUGGAAAACGUUAUGCAUGCGUUUCUGUUGGGUAUACAUCGAGGACUGGAGUGGAGUCAAAGGAGGCGGCAGGCAAAAUACAAAAUGCAAAAAGAGCUUCCAUGCCCUGAUGGCAGAGAUGUUUUCCAGGUGGGCUUUAUGAGAGGGAGCUAUCCAGGUGGGCCUAAUCUAAUCACACCAGCCACUUUAAAAAGCAGAGUUCCUCUCCAGCCAGGAGCAGAAGAGGAAGUCAGAGAAGUUUGAAGCGUCAGGGGUUCUAGCCAUAUCAUUGGUGGCUUGAUCAUCCUGGGGUCCACAUGCAAGGACUGGGGGGUGGCUUCCAGGAGCUAAGGGUGGCUCUCAGCUGGCAGCCAGCAAGGAAACAGGAUUUGCCAACACCCUGACGGAACUAGAACGUGGAUUUCUCCCCAAGGGCUCCAGAUGAGGAUUCAGUCCUCCUACCAACCUGAUUUCAGCCCUGUGCCUGAGCAGACACCCCAGCCAUCCCGUGUCAGACUGCAGCUCUACAGAACUAUCAGGGAGAAGAUACCCAACCAAGAUGGACAUCAAAAGAUGCCUGUGUUCUAGAUUUGGAGCUGUUUGUCUUUGGAAUGUUUUUUUUUUCUUUGCCUCUGGGUACAUAAUUUCAUUUUAAAUUAGGAGAGAAGGACUUAAAAUAACUGCUUUCAA
This is a long non-coding RNA of Felis catus (domestic cat), 1966 nucleotides long. RefSeq lists it as uncharacterized. The record is from RefSeq and is a predicted model, not a curated record. The transcript is spliced from 2 exons. NCBI's taxonomy places the organism in Eukaryota, Metazoa, Chordata, Mammalia, Carnivora, Felidae.